GGUGGCUGGACUUGGGUGUCCGUGAGCAUUGGCGAGUCCCAUUCAGUUUCAUCGGUGAUGCCCGGUCUGCAUGGCGAAGACAGCCUGGGAGAGUAGCGCUGUGUGGUCUGCGGUCACGUGGGAGCUGCCAGCGUAAGCGGCGGAGUUGGCUGGAUGCAGGUGUCUGUGAGCAUGGGUGAGUCCCACUCUGCCUCAUCAGCGAUGCCCAGUCUCCAUGGUGAAGACAGCCCAGGAGAGUAGCGCUGUGUGGUCUGCGGUCACCUGGGAGCUUCCGGCAUAAGCGGUGGAGUUGGCUGGCCGCGGGUGUCUGUGAGCAUCGGGGAGUCCCAUUCUGCCUCAUCGGCAAUGCCCAGCCUGUGAGGCGAAGACAGCCUGGGAGAGCAGCGCUGUGUUGUCUGCGGUCACGUGGGAGCUGCUGGCAUAAGCAGUGGAGUUAGCUGGACGUGGGCGUCCGUGAGCAUGGGUGAGUCCCAUUCUGCCUCAUCCGCGAUGGCCGGUCUGCAUGGCGAAGAUGGCCGGGGAGAGUAGCGCUGUGUGGUCUGCAGUCACGUGGGAGUUGCCAGCAUAAGCGAAAUGACCAGAACACUGAUUUCCAAAGGUGACGUGUUAUACGCAAACAACGAAUCAUGGAACACUACAUCAAAAACUAAUGAUGUACUGGGUGAGAGGAGCAAGAU
Leptonychotes weddellii (Weddell seal) is the source of this 677-nucleotide non-coding RNA. The record is from RefSeq and is a predicted model, not a curated record. Lineage: Eukaryota; Metazoa; Chordata; Mammalia; Carnivora; Phocidae.